Molecule: RNA transcript, 3525 nt
Organism: Populus trichocarpa (black cottonwood)
Lineage: Eukaryota; Viridiplantae; Streptophyta; Magnoliopsida; Malpighiales; Salicaceae
Gene name: pentatricopeptide repeat-containing protein At2g40720
Exons: 3
Source: RefSeq, a predicted model, not a curated record
GGUUCGUUGGAGCUUGAUUCCACCAAUAUAUCAUGGUGCAGGGCUGGUUUAACUGCUCUGUUCGGUGAAAAAGGAGACUCGUUGCUAUUUCUGUAACCAGUUGAAGUGGAUUAUCUACCAGACUUGGAGAAACAUGGCGUAUCACUAACAGAGAGCUCGUUUGCGAACGUGGCUGGCCGGACAUUUCAGCCAAGGAUGAAUAAACUGUCUCAGAAUGCAUUUUGUUCAGAAUUUUUAUGGUGAAGAAACUUCAUUUGGGUCAUGUUUCCAGAAGCUUCGGGCUGAAGCAGCAGCUGUCGUUGGUUGCAUUCCAAACUCAAUCAAAGAAGAGGAAGAGAGAAGGGAGGCAAAAGGGACUAUCAAAUAAGAGAGAGGCCAACUGUAAAACGAGAGCCUAAAACAUGAAUAUAUAUAUUUUUUGAAAUAUGGCAGAUUGAUGAGACUAUAGACAGAUGCUGAAAGCAAUAACACUGGACAUGUUGCUAAUCGUAGGCAUACCAAUCAGUAUUUAUGCGCUGACUUCCAUGGUUUUUGAACUUGGGAGUUCGCCACUGGGCAUCCGAAUGUGACUUAAGCAUAUAGGUUCCUUGACUCUCAAAAUCGUACCAGGAUAAAUUAGCUGUGGCUGGAGAUUUUGUAUUGAAAUUCGGUAAUUACAGUUAUAAUACAUACAAGUAAUAGUUUUUCUUAUAUAUAUUGGAUUACUGUACUCAUAGAUCUGGUGACUCUGACUCAACCCUAAGCCAAUGGUAAACAAAUCAAGUUCAUGCAUACCAUGAAAUAAGGUUGUGAAAAAUGCAAGAUUCCCUCGAAACCACGCCCACGGCCCACGCCCAUGCCCAAAUCGAAAAACCAAAACCAGAAUUUUAGAUAUCUCCCUCUUGUAUUACUUACUGAACUAGUGUGUUUUGUGUUGGCCGACCAUGCUGACAUGUAUUUCAUUCAACAAAUUUCUCGCAAACUUUCAAAUCUAGCACACUCAGAUUUGAUCGAUCCCAAAAUCGUAACUUUAGUUCAACAAGGACAAUAUGUAGAUGCCUUGCAAUUCUACUCUAGAAAUCCCCUAAACGCUACCAGGUUCACAUACCCUUCUCUCCUAAAGGCCUGUGGUUUCCUUUCAAAUCUUCAAUAUGGAAAAACAAUUCAUUCUACAAUCAUCACCAAAGGCUUCUUCUACUCUGAUCCUUAUAUCACUACCUCACUUAUCAAUUUUUAUUUUAAAUGCGGGUCAUUUGGAAAUGCAGUUAAAGUGUUUGAUAAAUUGCCUGAGAGUGAAGUGUCAGGCCAAGAUGUAACCUUUUGGAAUUCUAUAGUUAAUGGGUACUUUCGAUUUGGACAUAAAAAGGAGGGCAUAGCUCAGUUUUGUAGAAUGCAAUUAUUUGGUGUUAGGCCUGAUGCUUACUCAUUGUGUAUUCUACUUGGUGCGUCUGAUGGGCAUUUGGGAUAUGCGAAGCAAAUUCAUGGUUAUAGCGUUAGAAAAGUGUUUUACGGUGACCCUUUUUUGGAAAGUGGACUAAUUUAUAUGUACUUUAGUUGCGGUAGACCUCUGGAUGCGUGGCGUUUGUUCAAAGAGUUGGAAGAUAAGGGCAAUGUUGUAGCAUGGAAUGUGAUGAUUGGAGGAUUUGGUGAGAAUGGCUUGUGGGAAAAUAGCUUGGAAGUAUAUUUGUUAGCGAAGAAUGAAAAUGUCAAACUUGUUUCAGCAUCCUUUACUAGUACUCUAAGUGCUUGUUGUCAGGGUGAAUUUGUUAGUUUUGGCAUGCAGGUUCAUUGUGAUCUGGUUAAGCUGGGUUUUGAGAAUGACCCUUAUGUUUGUACUUCACUAUUGACUAUGUAUUCCAAGUGCAAGUUGGUUGAAGAUGCCGAAAAUGUUUUUGAUCAGGUUUCUGUGAAAAAGACUGAAUUAUGGAAUGCAAUGAUCUCGGCAUAUGUUGGUAAUGGACGCUCUUAUGAUGGUUUGAAAAUUUACAAACAGAUGAAGGUACUUCAAAUUCCACCUGAUUCUCUUACAGCGACAAAUGUUUUAUCAUCUUGCUGUUUGGUUGGUUCAUAUGAUUUUGGUAGGUUGAUUCAUGCAGAAUUAGUAAAAAGACCUAUUCAAAGUAAUGUUGCUCUACAGAGUGCUCUGUUGACCAUGUACUCAAAAUGCGGUAACAGUGAUGAUGCUAAUUCAAUAUUUAACACAAUAAAAGGAAGGGACGUAGUUGCAUGGGGUUCCAUGAUAUCAGGUUUUUGCCAAAAUAGGAAAUACAUGGAGGCUUUGGAAUUUUACAACUCAAUGACAGUAUAUGGGGAGAAACCAGAUUCUGAUAUUAUGGCAAGCGUUGUGAGUGCUUGUACAGGACUAAAGAAUGUCAAUCUCGGUUGCACUAUCCAUGGACUUGCUAUUAAAAGUGGGUUGGAACAGGAUGUUUUCGUUGCAAGUUCCCUGGUGGAUAUGUACUCCAAAUUUAAUUUCCCAAAGAUGUCUGGAAAUGUAUUUUCUGAUAUGCCACUUAAGAACCUUGUAGCUUGGAAUUCUAUAAUAUCUUGCUAUUGCAGGAAUGGCCUCCCAGACUUGUCCAUUAGUCUUUUUUCUCAAAUGACACAGUACGGCUUGUUUCCAGAUUCUGUCUCUAUUACAAGUGUCCUUGUUUCUGUUUCGUCAGUUGCAGUACUACGUAAAGGAAAGGCAGUGCAUGGGUAUCUGAUAAGACAGAGGAUUCCAUCUGACCUUCAACUAGAGAAUGCUCUGAUUGAUAUGUAUAUCAAGUGUGGAUUCUUGAAAUAUGCCCAGCAUAUCUUUCAAAACAUGCUUCAGACAAACUUGGUGACUUGGAAUAUAAUGAUUGCUGGUUGUGGAUCACAUGGGGAUUGGUUGAAAGCAAUGAGAUUAUUUGAUGAGAUGAGAAGUUUUGGAAUCGCUCCUGAUGAUAUUACUUUCAUUUCUCUUCUGACAUCUUGCAACCAUUGUGGUUUCAUUGAGGAAGGGCUAAAACUUUUUCAAUUGAUGACGGUGGAGCAUGGGAUUGAGCCAAGAAUGGAGCAUUAUGUAAACAUUGUUGACCUCUUGGGCCGUGCAGGACGCCUGGAUGAUGCUUAUGCUUUUGUGAAAAACUUGCCUAUUGAACCUGACAGGAGUAUUUGGCUAUCUUUGUUAUGCUCAUGCAGAGUCCAUCAUAAUGUUGAGCUUGGACAGGGCUGCAAACUUGCGGGCUUCAAUGAAAGAAAAAGGCUUAAAGAAGACUCCUGGGUGCAGUUGGAUUGAAGUAGGGAAUAGCAUUGAUGUUUUCUUCUCUGGUGAUAGCUCAUCUCCGAGGACAAUAGAGAUCUAUGACUUAUUGAAUAGUCUUAGGAGGAACAUGCGAAAGAAAGGAGGUCAUUAUGAAAGUGUUGAGGCCUUGUAAGAAUGAGAAUGACAUCCUGGAAGGGAUGAAUUGCUCCCCAAAAGGAAUCCGUUAAUCUUCUACCAAUUGCUUUGACAGCAAAGGACGUGUUGCUUAAGUUUCAUUUGAAGAUUAAGAAGCAAAUUGAAAUGAGUUGAAAUGA